AUUGAACGCUGGCGGCAGGCCUAACACAUGCAAGUCGAACGAGUGGCGGACGGGUGAGUAAUGCCUAGGAAUCUGCCCGGUAGUGGGGGAUAACGUCCGGAAACGGGCGCUAAUACCGCAUACCAUCAGAUGUGCCCAGAUGGGAUUAGCUUGUUGGUGGGGUAACGGCUCACCAAGGCGACGAUCCCUAGCUGGUCUGAGAGGCUGACCAGCCACACUGGAACUGAGACACGGUCCAGACUCCUACGGGAGGCAGCAGUGGGGAAUAUUGCACAAUGGGCGCAAGCCUGAUGCAGCCAUGCCGCGUGUAUGAAGAAGGCCUUCGGGUUGUAAAGUACUUUCAGCGGGGAGGCGUUACCCGCAGAAGAAGCACCGGCUAACUCCGUGCCAGCCGCCGCGGUAAUAC
This 406-nucleotide ribosomal RNA is filed under the name uncultured bacterium. RNAcentral describes it as "partial 16S ribosomal RNA". It matches the Rfam family "Bacterial small subunit ribosomal RNA", at positions 30 to 526 of the family's 1533-position model. The record is from RNAcentral.